RNAcentral lists this ribosomal RNA (1951 nucleotides) under Henneguya jariensis. RNAcentral describes it as "SSU rRNA". It matches the Rfam family "Eukaryotic small subunit ribosomal RNA". Lineage: Eukaryota; Metazoa; Cnidaria; Myxozoa; Bivalvulida; Myxobolidae. The record is from RNAcentral.
CAUAGGCUCUUUUUAAAGAUUUAAGCCAUGCAUGUGCCAAGUUCAAACUUAGACAAAGUGAGACUGCGGACGGCUCAGUAUAUCAGUUAUAAUCUGCUCGAUUGUUGAGGUUAGUGGAUAACCGUGGGAAAUCUAGAGCUAAUACAUGCACCGCGGAGAGUUUCGGCUGUCCUGGCAUUUAUUAGAGCGAUACCAACCGUGUGAGCAAUCACACGAGGCGAAUCUAGAUAACUGUGCAGAUCGUAUGGCCUUGAGCUGACGACAUUUCGAUUGAGUUUCUGCCCUAUCAACCAGUCGCAAGCGUAAGGUACUUGCGAAGUGAUAACGGGUAACGGGGGAUCAGGGUUCGAUUCCGGAGAGGGAGCCUGAGAAACGGCUACCACAUCCAAGGAAGGCAGCAGGCGCGCAAAUUACCCAAUCCAGACAGUGGGAGGUGGUGACGAAAAGUACCGAGUGGCGACAAUGUCGCCAGCUUGGAAUGAAUGCAAUUUAAGCAAUUGAAUUGAGUAACGACUGGAGGGCAAGUCUGGUGCCAGCAGCCGCGGUAAUUCCAGCUCCAGUAGCCUAUCUCAAAGUUGCUGCGCUUAAAACGCUCGUAGUUGGAUCACGCACUGCGCGUUGGUGUGCUGCCUGGUGCGGCGCGGCCGGAUUUGCAGUCCGGGGCGUCGAAGUCACGGUGGCUAUGAGCCGACGCGCAGUAAUUGCACGUGAGGAUGGCAGUUGGCCUUGAGUGCGUCGACGGUCGUGUCUCACGGGGUGUGCCUUGAGUAAAUCAGAGUGCUCAAAGCAGGCGAAUGCCUGAAUGUUGAUAGCAUGGAACGAACAAUCGUGUAGGGUGUGCGCUGAGCCCGGUGCGUCGUUGGACCGCCGCAGCGCACGACACCGACCACCAAUAACGGAUGUUGGUUCCGUAUUGGGGUACCGAUUAAGAGGAGCGGUUGGGGGCAUUGGUAUUUGGCAGCGAGAGGUGAAAUUCUUGGACCUGCCAAGGACUAACAAAUGCGAAGGCAUCUGUCCAGACCGUAUCCAUUAAUCAAGAACGAAAGUGAGAGGUUCGAAAGCGAUCAAAUACCGCCCUAGUUCUCACUGUAAACGAUGCCGACCCGGGAUCAGUUUGGAGCCAUUUUCCACGCUCGAGGUUGGUCCCCCUGGGAAACCUGAAGUUUUUCGGUUGCGGGGGGAGUAUGGUCGCAAGGCUGAAACUUAAAGGAAUUGACGGAAGGGCACCACCAGGGGUGGAGCCUGCGGCUUAAUUUGACUCAACACGGGGAAACUUACCUGGUCCGGACAUCAAAAGGAUAGACAGACUAAAAGAUCUUUCUUGAUAUGGUGAUUGGUGGUGCAUGGCCGUUCUUAGUUCGUGAAGUGAUUUGUCAGGUUGAUUCCGGUAACGAACGAGAUCACAUUCUCCAGUUGAGGAGCCAGGGAAGGCGUUGGUUGGGCGCUGGUUGGCAACAGCCAGCGUCUCUUGCAGCGUUGCAGGCGGGGGUUGUGGGUUUCGGCGGUGGCGCGUGUAACAGCGCGUCGCUGCUGCCAUCUGUGGCACUCCCCCUGGCCAUACAGUGCGGUGCCCCUCGGGGUGACGUGCUGUGUCAUGGAGAGACAACGGAACAUAACAAAAUCCGAGGAAGUGUGGCUAUAACAGGUCUGUGAUGCCCUUAGAUGUUCAGGGCUGCACGCGCGCUACAAUGACGAUGACAACGAGUUUCUGGAUCGGCAGAUUCGGGUAAUCUUGCAAUCAUCGUCGUGAUGGGGACUGAUGUUUGUAACGACAUCACGAAAGAGGAAUCCCUAGUACACGUAGUUCAUGAAACUGCGUGGAUUUAGUCCCUGCCCUUUGUACACACCGCCCGUCGCUACUACCGAGUGAAUGGUGUCAUAAUGCCUUGGGAGCGGAUUCGCUGCUGCACCUCGGUGCGCGGCGAGCUGCGAUCAGCGUAGAAUGGCGCGA